UGUGGAUGGGAGGGGCUUGGAAGGGAAUUCGGCUUGGUUUUAACAUUGAGUGUAGUGGAGGAUCGACUGCAGACUGGCUCCCAACUCCUCUCCUCUCUCCUCUCACUCGACUCACAACAAUUCUCUGUCCCGUUAAGAUCCACAGGGCACAAUCAUGGAGGAAAUGGACUUUGAGCGGCGCCGGGAGCUGAGAAGGCAGAAGCGGGAGGAGAUGCGCCUGGAGGCUGAAAGGAUGGCAAGAAAUGACGAUGACGAGGAAGAGGCGGCCCGCGAGAGGAGGCGCAGGGCGCGCCAGGAGAGGAUGAGGACUAGGGAGAGCGAUGAGCCCAGUGGACAGCCAGACAGUCUGGUCGUGACUAACAGCCACAGCAUGACAGAGACAGUGUCUGUGACUAGCACUCACGGAGGCGGUGGAGACGACGAGGACCAAGCCCUCCUGGACCGCAUGGCCAAACGCGAGGAGAGACGGCAGAGGCGCAUGCAAGAGGCGCUGGAGAGACAGAAGCAGCUGGACCCGACUGUGACAGAGGACAACAGCAGUGUCAGCAUGGAGAAAAACAACCAGGAGGAGGAGAGGCCAUCCUGGCGCAAGGGGCGCUUCCGGGAUAAUGAAGACGAAGAAGAAGAAGAGAAGACAUCCACAUACAGCUCUAGGAGGGAGGAGAUGCAGCGAGAGGAGCAGAGAGAGGAAGAGGUGGCUGCUCCUGAGGCUGAAGAGGAAGUGGAGGAGUGUGAAGAUGAGGUGCAGGAAGUGGUAGAGGACAAACUUAGAAGGUCUUACAUGAGGGAACAGGUGUCCGCAGAAGAACCCACAACCCAUAACAAGGAGCUUGUUGAAGAAAAAAUGCCGUCUGUAGUCAGUGAGUGUUCAAAUCAGACCACGCCAGCAAAGUCUGAGGCUGAGGAGGAUGCAGUAGGAUCAGGCAUGGCUGAAGAGGUGGACGAGGACAGGGAGGAGCAGAGGAAGCAGAACGGAGGGCUGCAUGAUGAAGAGGCUCCCAAACAACACAGGAAACCUGAGAGGACUCUCAGUCGGGGAAGUGUGCACUCCCCCGAGGUGUCUGCGGCGGACGACCAGGACGACGACGCCCGCCUGGAAGCAGAGCGCAAGCUGGAGGAGCUGAAGCGCCGCCGCGACGAUGCCGAGAGUGAGGAGUUUGAGAGGAUGAGACUGAAGCAGCACGAGGCCGAGGCUGAGCUGGAGGAGCUGAAGAAGAAGAGGGAGGAAAGGAGGAAGGUACUGGAGGAGGAGGAGAGGCAGAAGAAGCUGGAGGAGGAUGAGAGGAAAGCCAAAGAGGAGGAGGAGAAGAGGAAGAUGAAGGAGGAGAUUGAAAGGAGGAGAGCAGAGGCUGCCGAGAAGAGACAGAAGGUGGAGGACACUAUGGAUGGAGAUGAGAAACCCUUCAAGUGUGUCAGCCCCCGCGGCUCCUCUCUUAAGAUUGGAGAGAGAGCAGAGUUCCUGAACAAGUCGGCGCAGAAAAGCGCAGCGAAGGCGCCUUUCUCUCCUGUGGUGUCCAAGAUAGACAACAGGCUGGAGCAGUACACCUCCGCUGCUCAGAGAGAGAACAAGGAGUCUCGAUCCCCUCGCUCUGGAGCGGUGGAUCUGCCCAUGGCCACCGACAGCAUACGGAACAUCAAGAGCAUGUGGGAGAAAGGCAACGUGUUCGGCUCGCCUGGAGGUGGCGGGAACACAUUCAAGGAAGCAGCUGUGAUGAAGACGGGCGUGGCAGGCCGCAUCAAUGACUGGCUGAAUAAAACCCCGGAGAGCGGCAAAACGCCAGGCGGAAGGCCAGCGGACCUUAAACCUGUCGACGUCAGCAACAAGAGGAGUCUAUGGGAAAACAAAGGAGCUUCUCCAACCAAGAACUCUCAUAGCUAGUUGAUCUCACCAUUAAAUCUGGAAUAAGCCUGGAGAGGUGGCAGGCAGAGGGGAGACCAAAUCAGUCGCCAACGGGAUGGGACACUAAUGUCUUGAAGAAGCCACUUAAGCUGGGGACCACGACAAUCCAAGACACUUCCUUUGACUUUGUCUUAAGAACCAAAUAUAUCGACCACACUCUCAAGAGGGACCCCAAGAAAACAGAAGGACAGGAGAGACGCUGUCUGAGCACUGUACUGAAACAAGAUCAUAUUUUCUUUUUGUACGGUUGCCACGUAUAGUGCCUUUGCACAAUGAUAUUUUUUUUUGCUUUCUAAAAGAAACAAAAUGCUGUGAAAUUUGGACAUUGUAAUAACUGUUACUAAUUACUUUAUACAAUCCUGCCAGGAAGAAGGAAAACUAAUUAAAUUUAGAUUUAUCAGUUGUACUCCAUGCCAACAGUUUUGGUAGAAACAGCGUGGAUGAGUUAAAAAAAAAAGAAAAGAAAAAGUUUCCACAUUCCAAAGAGAUGGGUGAAAUCAGUUCUCUCCCCCUCAUACAGAUCAUUUUCCAUCUCUUGUCUCUCUUUUUUUUAUUUAUAUUUAAAGCAAAAGCUUCACACAUUGCUAUUUUAUUCAUCGUUCACCAGUUCAGGAUAGAAAUAUUAGCACUUAUAGAAUUUAGCUGAUUUCACGUUUUAUUUUGUCCUACCAAUAGUGCAGCAAUGGUCUGAGUAAUAUAUGUUAGCACACGUGAUGUUUUGAAUAUGACCUAUCAUACUGUAUCGUAUAUAACAUCUCUAUACUCAAAACAAAAGGUAUUUUUGCUUCUUCUUUUUUGUUUUUAUAUCCACAAACUAUUCUCCAACUGGCAUUUCAUUCCAGAUGUGAACCAGCGUGUUGAAUAUCCAGAAGGCCAUUGUGACUUUAUUAUCCUUUAUGUCAUUUUAUUUAUGUUUUUAAUAUGUUUUUCUAUUCCAAGCUGGGGUUUUUUUUUGUAGCUUUUGUACCUGUUUGAUCACUUUAAAAUCUUCAGACAUUCCUCUUUUGAAAAGCAGGUGCACUCGGUGCCUUCACUGCUUCAAAGUUGUAGGUUUUUUUUAUGUGGGAAAUCAGCAAACCACCUUUUUUUGUUUUUUAUAUCCAGUUUUUCCUCUUUCCGCCUCUAUGCACACUAAUGCUCAGCAAAUAGUUUCUAAUAAAGGGCAUGCAAAGUAAAAUCGGGUUGCCUUUAGCAAAUAUAGCAAGAUACUAGUACAGUUCAAGGAUAUUUACCACUAUGUAACGUCUGGCCUUAUGAUUGCACCGUUUAUGACAGCUGAGGUAAAAACUACAUAAAAGCCUCAAAGCAAAAGUAUGAUAUAAAGUCUGAUUUAUUUCUUCUUCUUUUCUCCACUUACAUGGUCUUAAGUAGCACAUUUCCCCCUUUUUUGCUUGUUUUAUGCGCGGCACAAGCUUUGACAAGCAUGUGAAUGGUUUGCUGGGGCAUUAAAUUGAUCCAUGUCACUGCUCAAAAGUCUGACAAUCACAUUCCAUGGCUCCUGAAAAGAGCAGGGGAGCUCGACCAAAAUAUGAUACACCGUGAUGUAAUGUGACAUUUAUGAUGUUUUUAAUACAAUGGUUUCAUAAUGCCUUGUUUUUUUUUUGUUUUUUGUUUUUUUACUCUUUUUACUUUACAUGUUUAACCAGACACUUGUUGUUUGUGUAGUGCUAAGCCUAUACAAAAACACACUCUCUGUAUUCUCUCUGAACACUCCCAAUGUCAUACAAGUGGGCAGUUUCCAACUGGAUGGAUGUUUUAAACAUUGUACCUUUUUACAACAACAGCAAUAAAGACAUUGAGGUAUUCCA
Solea solea (common sole) is the source of this 3708-nucleotide RNA transcript. It is a transcript of the gene named caldesmon 1a, with no coding region annotated. Lineage: Eukaryota; Metazoa; Chordata; Actinopteri; Pleuronectiformes; Soleidae. The transcript is spliced from 17 exons. The record is from RefSeq and is a predicted model, not a curated record.